RNAcentral lists this ribosomal RNA (253 nucleotides) under uncultured bacterium. RNAcentral's name for it is "partial 16S ribosomal RNA". It matches the Rfam family "Bacterial small subunit ribosomal RNA", at positions 524 to 776 of the family's 1533-position model. The record is from RNAcentral.
UACGGAGGAGGCAAGCGUUAUCCGGAAUUAUUGGGCGUAAAGCGUCCGCAGGUGGCUAUUCAAGUCUGCGGUCAAAGACUGGGGCUUAACCCUGGAAAGGCCGUGGAAACUGAAGUGCUAGAGUGCAGUAGGGGUAGAGGGAAUUCCCGGUGUAGCGGUGAAAUGCGUAGAGAUCGGGAAGAACAUCGGUGGCGAAAGCGCUCUGCUGGACUGCAACUGACACUCAGGGACGAAAGCUAGGGGAGCGAAUGGG